GAUGAAGAACGCAGCGAAAUGCGAUACGUAAUGUGAAUUGCAGAAUUCAGUGAAUCAUCGACUCUUUGAACGCACAUUGCGCCCCCUGGUAUUCCGGGGGGCAUGCCUGUCCGAGCGUCAUUGCUGCCCUCAAGCACGGCUUGUGUGUUGGGCCUCCGUCCUCCUCCCGGGGGACGGGCCCGAAAGGCAGCGGCGGCACCGCGUCCGGUCCUCGAGCGUAUGGGGCUUCGUCACCCGCUCUUGUAGGCCCGGCCGGCGCUUGCCGACACAUCAAUCUUUUUUCCAGGUUGACCUCGGAUCAGGUAGGGAUACCCGCUGAACUUAAGCAUAUCAAUAAGCGGAGGA
This 345-nucleotide unclassified non-coding RNA is filed under the name soil metagenome. RNAcentral describes it as "partial contains 5.8S ribosomal RNA, internal transcribed spacer 2, and large subunit ribosomal RNA". The stretch from base 1 to 120 matches the Rfam family "5.8S ribosomal RNA", at positions 35 to 154 of the family's 154-position model. The record is from RNAcentral.